RNAcentral lists this ribosomal RNA (649 nucleotides) under uncultured bacterium. Its description in RNAcentral is "bacterial SSU rRNA". It matches the Rfam family "Bacterial small subunit ribosomal RNA", at positions 8 to 640 of the family's 1533-position model. The record is from RNAcentral.
AGAGUUUGAUCCUGGCUCAGAACGAACGCUGGCGGCGUGCUUAAUACAUGCAAGUCGAACGAUAACGUCCGCUUCGGCGGAUUAUUAAAGUGGCGAACGGGUGAGGAACACGUGGAUAAUCUUCCUCUAUGUCUGGGAUAAUCCUUCGAAAGGAGGUCUAAUACCGGAUAAUACUUUCUGGUGGCAUCACCAGAUAGUCAAAGGCGGGGUAACCUGCCGUUUAGAGAUGAGUCCGCGCCCCAUUAGCUUGUUGGUAGGGUAACGGCCUACCAAGGCUCCGAUGGGUAGCCGGCCUGAGAGGGCGACCGGCCACACUGGGACUGAGAUACGGCCCAGACUCCUACGGGAGGCAGCAGUAAGGAAUAUUGCGCAAUGGACGAAAGUCUGACGCAGCAACGCCGCGUGGGUGAUGAAGCAUCUUGGUGUGUAAAACCCUUUCAGUGGGGAAGAACCGUGCAAUGAGUAACUGCUUUGCACCUGACGGUACCCACAGAAGAAGUCCCGGCUAACUCCGUGCCAGCAGCCGCGGUAAUACGGGGGGGACGAGCGUUGUUCGGAUUUACUGGGCGUAAAGGGCGCGUAGGCGGACCUUCAAGUCGGAAGUGAAAACCGUUGGCUUAACCAGCGGCCUGCUUUCGAUACUGUCGGU